GACGAACGCUGGCGGCGUGCCUAAUACAUGCAAGUCGAACGAAGCUGUUUUAACUGGUGCUUGCACCGACUUAAACAACUGAGUGGCGAACGGGUGAGUAACUCGUGGGUAACCUGCCCCAAAGCGGGGGAUAACAUUUGGAAACAGAUGCUAAUACCGCAUAACCACAGAAACCACAUGGUUUCUGUGUCAAAGAUGGUUUCGGCUAUCACUUUGGGAUGGACCCGCGGCGUAUUAGCUAGUUGGUAAGGUAAUGGCUUACCAAGGCAAUGAUACGUAGACGAACUGAGAGGUUGAUCGGCCACAUUGGGACUGAGACACGGCCCAAACUCCUACGGGAGGCAGCAGUAGGGAAUCUUCCACAAUGGACGCAAGCCUGGUGGAGCAACACCGCGUGAGUGAAGAAGGGUUUCGGCUCGUAAAACUCUGUUGUUAAAGAAGAACGUAUCUAAGAGUAACUGCUUAGGUAGUGACGGUAUUUAACCAGAAAGCCACGGCUAACUACGUGCCAGCCGCCGCCGUAA
This 524-nucleotide ribosomal RNA is filed under the name uncultured bacterium. RNAcentral describes it as "partial 16S ribosomal RNA". It matches the Rfam family "Bacterial small subunit ribosomal RNA", at positions 28 to 523 of the family's 1533-position model. The record is from RNAcentral.